AACGAACGCUGGCGGCAUGCCUAACACAUGCAAGUCGAACGAGACCUUCGGGUCUAGUGGCGCACGGGUGCGUAACGCGUGGGAACCUGCCCUUAGGUUCGGAAUAACUCCCCGAAAGGGGUGCUAAUACCGGAUAAUGUCUUCGGACCAAAGAUUUAUCGCCUUUGGAUGGGCCCGCGUUGGUUUAGCUAGUUGGUAGGGUAAAAGCCUACCAAGGCGACGAUCCAUAGCUGGUCUGAGAGGAUGAUCAGCCACACUGGGACUGAGACACGGCCCAGACUCCUACGGGAUGCAGCAGUGGGGAAUAUUGGACAAUGGGCGAAAGCCUGAUCCAGCUAUGCCGCGUGAGUGAUGAAGGCCUUAGGGUUGUAAAGCUCUUUUACCCGGGAUGAUAAUGACAGUACCGGGAGAAUAAGCUCCGGCUAACUCCGUG
This 433-nucleotide ribosomal RNA is filed under the name uncultured bacterium. RNAcentral describes it as "partial 16S ribosomal RNA". It matches the Rfam family "Bacterial small subunit ribosomal RNA", at positions 29 to 507 of the family's 1533-position model. The record is from RNAcentral.